Molecule: ribosomal RNA, 253 nt
Filed under: uncultured bacterium
Lineage: Bacteria
Description: partial 16S ribosomal RNA
Rfam family: Bacterial small subunit ribosomal RNA
Source: RNAcentral
UACGUAGGUGGCAAGCGUUGUCCGGAUUUACUGGGCGUAAAGAGCGCGCAGGCGGUCGUUCAAGUCGCGUGUGAAAGCCCCCGGCUCAACUGGGGAGGGUCACGCGAUACUGAUCGACUCGAAGGCAGGAGAGGGAAGUGGAAUUCCCGGUGUAGUGGUGAAAUGCGUAGAUAUCGGGAGGAACACCAGUGGCGAAGGCGAGUUCCUGGACACUUCCUGACACUGAGGCACGAAAGCUAGGGGAGCAAACAGG